RNAcentral lists this ribosomal RNA (253 nucleotides) under uncultured bacterium. RNAcentral's name for it is "partial 16S ribosomal RNA". It matches the Rfam family "Bacterial small subunit ribosomal RNA", at positions 524 to 776 of the family's 1533-position model. The record is from RNAcentral.
UACGUAGGAUCCGAGCGUUGUCCGGAUUUACUGGGUGUAAAGGGUGCGCAGGCGGACUAGUAAGUCAGAGGUGAAAUCUCGUCGCUCAACGACGAAACUGCCUUUGAUACUAUUAGUCUUGAGUUCGGUAGAGAUCUGUGGAAUUCCGAGUGUAGCAGUGAAAUGUGUAGAUAUUCGGAAGAACACCAGUGGCGAAGGCAGCAGAUUGGGCCGAUACUGACGCUCAGGCACGAAAGCAUGGGGAUCAAACAGG